RNAcentral lists this unclassified non-coding RNA (152 nucleotides) under uncultured Nectria. RNAcentral describes it as "sequence contains ITS1". Lineage: Eukaryota; Fungi; Ascomycota; Sordariomycetes; Hypocreales; Nectriaceae. The record is from RNAcentral.
CCGAGUUUACAACUCCCAAACCCCUGUGAACAUACCUAUGUUGCUUCGGCGGGAUCGCCCCGGCGCCCUCGGGCCCGGACCCAGGCGCCCGCCGGAGGACCCAAACUCUUGUCUCCAUGAGAAUCUUCUGAGUGAUACAAGCAAAUAAAUUA